AGAGUUUGAUCAUGGCUCAGAUUGAACGCUGGCGGUAUGCUUAACACAUGCAAGUCGAACGGUAACAGGAAAAGCUUGCUUUUCGCUGACGAGUGGCGGACGGGUGCGUAAUGCGUAGGAAUCUGCCUAGUAGUGGGGGACAACUCGGAGAAAUUCGAGCUAAUACCGCAUAAGCCCUACGGGGGAAAACGGGGGAUCUUCUGACCUCGUGCUAUUAGAUGAGCCUACGUUAGAUUAGCUUGUUGGUGAGGUAAAAGCUCACCAAGGCGACGAUCUAUAGCUGGUCUGAGAGGAUGAUCAGCCACACUGGGACUGAGACACGGCCCAGACUCCUACGGGAGGCAGCAGUGGGGAAUAUUGGACAAUGGGCGAAAGCCUGAUUUUAGCAAUACCGCGUGUGUGAAGAAGGCCUGAGGGUUGUAAAGCACUUUCAAUUGGGAGGAAUACCUAAUGGUUAAUAGCCAUUAGAUUGACA
Molecule: ribosomal RNA, 475 nt
Filed under: uncultured bacterium
Lineage: Bacteria
Description: bacterial SSU rRNA
Rfam family: Bacterial small subunit ribosomal RNA
Source: RNAcentral